RNA transcript from Gossypium raimondii (Peruvian cotton), 1693 nucleotides. It is a transcript of the gene named WAT1-related protein At3g02690, chloroplastic, with no coding region annotated. NCBI's taxonomy places the organism in Eukaryota, Viridiplantae, Streptophyta, Magnoliopsida, Malvales, Malvaceae. The transcript has 7 exons. The record is from RefSeq and is a predicted model, not a curated record.
GGCAUAGCUCUUAUCAGCAAGCAAGCACCGAGAAAAAAAUGAGGGGCUGCACCUGCUUCUCCUUUCCUUCAUCCCCUCCAAUUUUCUCCUUUUACAGUAAUAGCAUUAAUCGUUUCUCUUCUUCUUCUUCACUGUUAUUCUCAUCAGCCUCUCACAACUGCUCUGUGAAACUGUCCCCUCUCCUCUUCGCCAAGUCCACGCGCUUCAGAACAAAUUGCAAAGCCAAAGAUCCCGAAGUUGUGGACUGCGUAGGGACGGGCCUGGACGUGGAGUGCCUCGUCUCUCAAAACGAGAAACAAGAUUUGGAAAUAGAAGAUGUUGAAAAGGCGGAAAGCAACAUUUUGUUGGAGUGGGCAGUGCUCGUUUCUCCAUUCUUCUUCUGGGGCACGGCAAUGGUGGCAAUGAAGGAGGUUUUGCCCAAGGCAGGGCCUUUCUUUGUGGCUUCCUUUCGUUUGAUUCCGGCGGGGUUGUUAUUGGUGGCGUUUGCCAACUCCAAGGGCAAGCCUUUGCCCUCUGGACUCACUGCUUGGCUUUCCAUUGCGCUCUUCGCUCUUGUCGACGCCGCCUGUUUCCAGGGUUUUCUUGCUCAAGGGUUACAGAGGACAUCUGCAGGUUUGGGCAGUGUGAUAAUUGACUCUCAGCCAUUGACAGUGGCUGUUCUUGCUUCCUUUUUAUUCAAUGAGUCCAUUGGUUUAGUUGGAGCUGCUGGGCUAGUUCUUGGUGUCGUUGGCCUUCUUCUUCUCGAGGUCCCUGCACUUUCUUUAGAUGAUAGUAAUUUUUCACUAUGGGGAAGUGGAGAGUGGUGGAUGCUCCUUGCUGCUCAGAGCAUGGCAGUUGGAACAGUAAUGGUCCGCUGGGUUUCCAAAUACUCUGACCCUAUCAUGGCAACCGGAUGGCAUAUGAUAAUUGGUGGUCUUCCACUUCUUGGAAUUUCUAUUCUCAACCAUGAUCCUGUUUUUAGUGGGAGUUUUCAGGAGCUUUCUGCCAGUGAUUUGUUGGCACUCUUUUAUACAUCAAUCUUUGGAAGUGCCAUAAGCUAUGGUGUAUUCUUCUACAGUGCAACAAAAGGUAGCUUGACGAAGCUCAGCUCCCUCACCUUCUUGACGCCUAUGUUCGCUUCAAUUUUUGGGUAAGAUGUUGCACUGGGCACAUGGUUCACUUCGUAAAUGGUCAUGUAGGAUUCUACUGUUAAGGGUUAAUAUUUCUGACCUGAAAAGGUUUUUGUACUUUGGCGAGACCUUCUCACCCUUGCAACUGGUUGGUGCCAUUGUCACCAUAGUUGCCAUAUACAUGGUUAACUUUCGAGGCAAACCUUCAUAGCAAAGAACAUGCUUGAUAAAGAUACAUACCUACCUACGUAAGACAUGUCAGAAAAUGAGAAUGAAAUUAAGCUUUGACAGAAUGAAGCAUGUUUUGGAGUCAGACAUCCUUUUAAAAGAUUGGUUAUGGUUGAAGAAGCAUGAUGUUUGAGAUCCCUGGCUAAGAUAUUGAAGUAAUCACGAUCUGUAUAUAUAUAUAUGUGAGCUAGAAAAGUAUAUACCAAUGGAUAAAUAUAGUCGUGUUUUAGAAUCUUGUAAAUUGCCGAAAUCUAAAGAUCGUUUGGAUAAAAAUAUUUAGUCCCGGCAAUGCAUUUGGACAAAAAACUCUCACAUUAAAGGGUUCGACUUUUUUAAAUCGACAUUUUUUUUUAUAA